This 54-nucleotide transfer RNA is filed under the name Dipodomys ordii (Ord's kangaroo rat). It matches the Rfam family "tRNA", at positions 1 to 53 of the family's 71-position model. Rfam says of the family: Transfer RNA (tRNA) molecules are approximately 80 nucleotides in length. The record is from Rfam by way of RNAcentral. Lineage: Eukaryota; Metazoa; Chordata; Mammalia; Rodentia; Heteromyidae.
GGGAAGGUGACUCAGUAGUAGAGUGCUUGCCUUGCAUGCAUGAGGCCCUGGGUU